UAGUAAACAAUAAAGAUUGCCUCUCUC
This 27-nucleotide non-coding RNA is filed under the name Mus musculus (house mouse). The record is from RNAcentral. Lineage: Eukaryota; Metazoa; Chordata; Mammalia; Rodentia; Muridae.